This 62-nucleotide transfer RNA is filed under the name Archaeocroton sphenodonti (tuatara tick). Its description in RNAcentral is "tRNA-Leu". The record is from RNAcentral. Lineage: Eukaryota; Metazoa; Arthropoda; Arachnida; Ixodida; Ixodidae.
UCUAAUUUGGCAGAAAUUAUGCAAUAAAUUUAGAAUUUAUUUAUGAAAAAAUUCAAUUAGAA